This 269-nucleotide ribosomal RNA is filed under the name uncultured bacterium. RNAcentral's name for it is "partial 16S ribosomal RNA". It matches the Rfam family "Bacterial small subunit ribosomal RNA", at positions 333 to 619 of the family's 1533-position model. The record is from RNAcentral.
UUUAUCCUACGGGAGGCAGCAGUGGGGAAUAUUGCACAAUGGGGGAAACCCUGAUGCAGCGACGCCGCGUGAGUGAAGAAGUAUUUCGGUAUGUAAAGCUCUAUCAGCAGGGAAGAAAAUGACGGUACCUGAUUAAGAAGCCCCGGCUAACUACGUGCCAGCAGCCGCGGUAAUACGUAGGGGGCAAGAGAUAUCCGGAUUUACUGGGUGUAAAGGGAGCGUAGACGGAGAUGCAAGUCAGAAGUGAAAGACCGGGGCUCAACUCCGGG